GACGAACGCUGGAGGCGUGCCUAACACAUGCAAGUCGAACGGGAUCUUCGGAUCUAGUGGCGGACGGGUGAGUAAUACAUAGGUAAUCUGUCUUGAAGAGGGGGAUAACAAUUCGAAAGGAGUGCUAAUACCGCGUAAUGUUGUCUGAUUAAGUUUGGACAAAGAAAGGAGCAAUCCACUUUAAGAUGAGCCUAUGGUCGAUUAGCUAGUUGGUGUGGUAACGGCAUACCAAGGCGACGAUCGAUAGCUG
RNAcentral lists this ribosomal RNA (250 nucleotides) under uncultured bacterium. RNAcentral describes it as "partial 16S ribosomal RNA". It matches the Rfam family "Bacterial small subunit ribosomal RNA", at positions 28 to 289 of the family's 1533-position model. The record is from RNAcentral.